GUCUUGGUAGUGUAAGAGAUAGAGCACAGUGCCCGGAAAGCAUAAGUACGGGUUCGAGUCCCGUCCACGACU
This 72-nucleotide transfer RNA is filed under the name Haemonchus placei. It matches the Rfam family "tRNA". Rfam says of the family: Transfer RNA (tRNA) molecules are approximately 80 nucleotides in length. The record is from Rfam by way of RNAcentral. Lineage: Eukaryota; Metazoa; Nematoda; Chromadorea; Rhabditida; Trichostrongylidae.